Molecule: transfer RNA, 67 nt
Filed under: Coptotermes elisae
Lineage: Eukaryota; Metazoa; Arthropoda; Insecta; Blattodea; Rhinotermitidae
Description: tRNA-Thr
Rfam family: tRNA
About the family: Transfer RNA (tRNA) molecules are approximately 80 nucleotides in length.
Source: RNAcentral
GUUUUAAUAAUUUAACAAAAAUAUUGGUCUUGUAAACCAAAAAUAAGGACAUAAACCUUUUAAAACU